RNAcentral lists this ribosomal RNA (768 nucleotides) under uncultured crenarchaeote. RNAcentral's name for it is "bacterial SSU rRNA". It matches the Rfam family "Archaeal small subunit ribosomal RNA", at positions 520 to 1292 of the family's 1478-position model. Lineage: Archaea; Thermoproteati; Thermoproteota. The record is from RNAcentral.
CGUAGCCUGCUCUUCAAGUCUCUCGUUAAAUCCAGCGAUUCAAUCGUUGGAAUGCGGGAGAUACUGUUGGGCUAGGAGGCGGGAGAAGCCGACGGUAUUCCCGGUGUAGGGGUAAAAUCCUAUAAUCCCGGGAGGACCACCAGUGGCGUAGGCGGUCGGCUAGCACGCGCUCAACGGUGAGGGACGAAAGCUGGGGGAGCAAACCGGAUUAGAUACCCGGAUAGUCCCAGCUGUAAACGAUGCGGGCUAGGUGUUGAAGUGGCCACGAGCCGCUUCAGUGCCGCAGGGAAGCCAUUAAGCCCGCCGCCUGGGGAGUACGGCCGCAAGGCUGAAACUUAAAGGAAUUGGCGGGGGAGCACCACAAGGCGUGAAGCUUGCGGUUCAAUUGGAGUCAACGCCGGGAACCUUACCGGGGGCGACAGCAGAAUGAAAGCCAGAUUGAAGGUCUUGCUGGACGAGCUGAGAGGAGGUGCAUGGCCGUCGCCAGUUCGUGCCGUGAGGUGUCCUGUUAAGUCAGGCAACGAUCGAGACCCACACCCCCUGUUGCCACCGAGGAGUUUUCCAAGGGGCACUCUGGGGGACUGCCAACGAUAAGUUGGAGGAAGGGGUGGGCUACGGCAGGUCAGUAUGCCCCGAAUCCUCCGGGCCACACGCGAGCUGCAAUGGCUGGGACAGUGGGUUCCAACCUCGAGAGGGGGAGGUAAUCCCUAAACCCGGCCUAAGUUUGGAUCGAGGGCUGUAACCCGUCCUCGUGAAAAUGGAAUGCCU